RNAcentral lists this ribosomal RNA (500 nucleotides) under uncultured bacterium. RNAcentral's name for it is "partial 16S ribosomal RNA". It matches the Rfam family "Bacterial small subunit ribosomal RNA", at positions 30 to 523 of the family's 1533-position model. The record is from RNAcentral.
AUUGAACGCUGGCGGCAGGCUUAACACAUGCAAGUCGAGCGGGGGAAGGUAGCUUGCUACCGGACCUAGCGGCGGACGGGUGAGUAAUGCUUAGGAAUCUGCCUAUUAGUGGGGGACAACAUCUCGAAAGGAUGCUAAUACCGCACACGUCCUACGGGAGAAAGCAGGGGAUCUUCGGACCUUGCGCUAAUAGAUGAGCCUAAGUCGGAUUAGCUAGGUGGGGGGGUAAAGGCCUACCAAGGCGACGAUCUGUAGCGGGUCUGAGAGGAUGAUCCGCCACACUGGGACUGAGACACGGCCCAGACUCCUACGGGAGGCAGCAGUGGGGAAUAUUGGACAAUGGGGGGAACCCUGAUCCAGCCAUGCCGCGUGUGUGAAGAAGGCCUUAUGGUUGUAAAGCACUUUAAGUGAGGAGGAGGCUACUCUAGUUAAUACCUAGGGAUAGUGGACGUUACUCGCAGAAUAAGCACCGGCUAACUCUGUGCCAGCCGCCGCGGUAA